AUGGAUCUGAGAACGCUGUCUGGGCUUGGUGCCAAGUGCUGGUAUUUCACAGCAGCGACCGCCUCACAGACGGGCUGUGGGAAGCAGGAGGGAGACUCUCUUAGGGUGCCACUACUAUGGAGACACAGCUGGGCUGAACAAGAUUUGCUUCAAACGACAACAAGAGAGACAGAAAGUAUCUGGUUCAACCGCUGCCCAGGCAGGCAGGCACCAGAAGAGCUAGCAGCCAAUCCGGCCAUGCUCGAAGCCAGCUCUGCAGCUCAGCCAAUCAGUGACAUCACUGAUCUUUUGGAAUAUUACUGGGAUAACUGUCCAAAUGAAGUUCCAAGUACUCUAUACAAAUGGUUACUGAUCAUUAAAAUGGUUUUGUAAAGGAAUGACUCAGAAAUAACAGAGUUUGUUGCUGCUUCUGAGAUAAAGAAAACUCGAUGUCAACAUUUGAACAGAGAAAAAUACAGAAUAUG
RNAcentral lists this long non-coding RNA (464 nucleotides) under Sus scrofa (pig). RNAcentral's name for it is "lncRNA (ENSSSCG00070017045.1)". Lineage: Eukaryota; Metazoa; Chordata; Mammalia; Artiodactyla; Suidae. The record is from RNAcentral.